AUCGGCUCUGAAGGUUCACAAAUUCGGGUUUGGUUUGAGAUUUUGUUGAUUUCGAAAGUUGGAUCCUUUACUGCUCGAAAAAGUCAGACAAACAGUGGUUUGCUUCAAUAGGAAUGGA
Molecule: long non-coding RNA, 118 nt
Organism: Trifolium pratense (red clover)
Lineage: Eukaryota; Viridiplantae; Streptophyta; Magnoliopsida; Fabales; Fabaceae
Exons: 3
Source: RefSeq, a predicted model, not a curated record